GCGGGCGUGGUGGAAUGGUAGACACACGGGACUUAAAAUCCCUUGGGCAUUGCCCGUGCCGGUUCGAGUCCGGCCGCCCGUA
Molecule: non-coding RNA, 82 nt
Organism: Thioclava sp.
Lineage: Bacteria; Pseudomonadati; Pseudomonadota; Alphaproteobacteria; Rhodobacterales; Paracoccaceae
Source: Rfam